Molecule: unclassified non-coding RNA, 381 nt
Filed under: uncultured Alphaproteobacteria bacterium
Lineage: Bacteria; Pseudomonadati; Pseudomonadota; Alphaproteobacteria
Description: contains 16S-23S intergenic spacer region
Source: RNAcentral
UCCGGCUUAUCACCGGCAGUUUCGCUAAAGUGCCCAGCCAAACCUGAUGGCAACUAGCAAUAAGGGUUGCGCUCGUUGCGGGACUUAACCCAACAUCUCACGACACGAGCUGACGACAGCCAUGCAGCACCUGUGUAGAAGCCAGCCGAACUGAAGAAGGAUAUCUCUACCCCUCAAACUUCCCAUGUCAAAAGCUGGUAAGGUUCUGCGCGUUGCUUCGAAUUAAACCACAUACUCCACCGCUUGUGCGGGUCCCCGUCAAUUCCUUUGAGUUUUAAUCUUGCGACCGUACUCCCCAGGCGGAAUGCUUAUUGCGUUAGCGACGACACUGAUGGAUUCCUCCACCAACAUCUAGCAUUCAUCGUUUACAGCGUGGACUAC